CCUACGGGUGGCAGCAGUGAGGAAUAUUGGUCAAUGGGCUUACGCCUGAACCAGCCAAGUCGCGUGAGGGAAGACUGCCCUAUGGGUUGUAAACCUCUUUUGUCAGGGAGCAACGCCGGCUACGUGUAGCCGGACUGAGAGUACCUGAAGAAAAAGCAUCGGCUAACUCCGUGCCAGCAGCCGCGGUAAUACGGAGGAUGCGAGCGUUAUCCGGAUUUAUUGGGCGAAAAGGGUGCGUAGGUGGUUUCUUAAGUCAGAGGUGAAAGGCUACGGCUCAACCGUAGUAAGCCUUUGAAACUGGGGAACUUGAGUGCAGGAGAGGAGAGUGGAAUUCCUAGUGUAGCGGUGAAAUGCGUAGAUAUUAGGAGGAACACCAGUUGCGAAGGCGGCUCUCUGGACUGUAACUGACACUGAGGCACGAAAGCGUGGGGAGCAAACAGGAUUAGAUACCCUAGUAGUC
RNAcentral lists this ribosomal RNA (460 nucleotides) under uncultured bacterium. RNAcentral describes it as "partial 16S ribosomal RNA". It matches the Rfam family "Bacterial small subunit ribosomal RNA", at positions 338 to 795 of the family's 1533-position model. The record is from RNAcentral.